RNAcentral lists this long non-coding RNA (879 nucleotides) under Actinidia chinensis (golden kiwifruit). RNAcentral describes it as "long non-coding RNA (ACHI_LNC004312)". Lineage: Eukaryota; Viridiplantae; Streptophyta; Magnoliopsida; Ericales; Actinidiaceae. The record is from RNAcentral.
UUCCCAAGUUCGCCCACUAAACUCAUUUGUUAGCUUCUAAAUUUUAAUUACAUUUAAGAACUUAUUUUUUUUAUCAUUUUAUUUUUAAACUUAAGUGUAUUAUUAGAAUUCUAUAACACCAAAUAAUUUUUUUUAAGCCUUCGAAUGGUCCAAAUGUAUACUAAUAGUAUUCUACAAUACCACUUUUUCUUAUAUAUUUUAUAUAAAUAAUAUUAUAAAAUAAUUAAUAUAUUAGUUAUUCAAGUAAGGCCGGGCUAAAUUGGGUUACAAAUUAAAUUUUCAAGUUCAAUUCAAUAUAUAAAUAAGUUUUAAAUAUGAACCCGCUUCAAUGAACGAAAAUAAUAACCCAAACCCUUAAAAAAGCGAGCUGGGUUGGACGGGCCAUUGGCCGGUGCCUACCCCUACAUGCAAUGUAGUAUGCGCGUUGGUGGAUAUAAGCCGGUCCUUAGCCUAACAAUUUUCUAUUGGGCCUCCGACCCAUCUUGCCAUUUGGCCGGGGGGACCUUCCUCUUUAAUUGCGCGGCAGUCCAAUUGGACUAAUAUUCAACUCCUAUUGGUUCAACCACGUCAACCCCGACCUCCCCACGCCCCGUCACCCCGACCACCAAAACGCGGCACAUUCAAUGCACGCAUUAUCACUUCCCCGUUUCCUAAUCGCUCAAACGGAAUUUACUUGACACGCGCCCUCUUUAAUCAACACAUCCGUCGCUACGUGCAUCACACUUGCGCCUGUCGUGCAUCGUCGUCCUGACCCCAACAAUUUGCCGGUGAGAACCCAAGACCGAUAGUGUCGCGUUUGGAUUCUCCAAAUCUGUGUGUUGAAAGAGAAAAUGGUAUUCGAAGUUGAGAGUUGUUUUUCCCAACCACCCUACACAAAAC